RNAcentral lists this long non-coding RNA (1628 nucleotides) under Homo sapiens (human). RNAcentral describes it as "HSALNT0379872". The record is from RNAcentral. Lineage: Eukaryota; Metazoa; Chordata; Mammalia; Primates; Hominidae.
CCAGGUCUUGACAUAGAUACAGAUAACAUACACGCCCAGAUGAUGUCACAAUCAGCUGUAUCUAAACAGAGCAGAGCUCAGGUGACAUCACAGAACAGGCAGAGGCAGUUCAGGGGUAUUCUGGUUGCCUUACCCAGCUCUGAAGUCUGUCAGCCUCUUCAGAUGUCACUUGCCAUGUGGUAAGGAAGUGUAGUCAGCAGCUGGUGCAGUGGGAAGAAGAGAAAGGAAGUUCCCCAAGACAAAAACAUCUCGGCAGACCGUGAUCAUGGGCUACAUUCUCCGUACCAGCUUCAUAGCUCCAGUGAGAAAAUAAAUUCCUGCAUCCAGGAGAUGUGGAGUAAGAGAUACAGCUGCCCUUGACCAUAUUUCUUACUUCCGAGAAGAUCGUAGCAGUAAUUCAGAAUCUCAUCCAGGAUACCUCAUCACAGGCUGGAGUGCAGUGUCAUGAGCUUGGCUCACUACAGCCUCCAUCUUCUGUGCUUAAGGAUCCUUCCCUCUCAACCUCCAAGGUAGCUGAGACUACAGGCAACAUUCGAAACCCAGGUGCCACUCCUUCAGGAAGGUACCAUCAAGCUCCAAGGACUCAUCCUCUUUCUCCUUCCCCACUACCUAGUCAUUAGAGCGUCAGCAUCCACUUCCUGAAAGGAAGAUGCCUGUUUUUCACAUAUCCCAGAAAGCCUCAUUUUAGGACAGCAUUUAGCAGAGUGUAUUCAGGAUCCCACUAACCUUUUCGGAAGACAUGACUUCCAGAUGAUAUAAGGCUCCAUCAGGAACUGUGCAGGACUGUGCACUCUGUUGAUACUCACAUGGUGGAAUUAUAUUGCCCUUGGCCAACCCUAAAGCCAUCAAGAUAGCAGGUUUGGAAUAAUUCACUGUCGAAGUCUUCUUGAGCUGAGCAGUCAUGUGAGCUUGGAAGAUGAUCCCUCUCCAGCUGAUCCUUCAGCUCAGGCCAUCAUCUACAUCUGGAUUCCUGACCCGGAGAAACUAUGAGUAAUGUGUGCUGCUUUUGAGCCACUAAGCUACAUGAAUUAAUGAAGGAUCAUUAUUAAGUUUUUAAUGGGUCAAGAGAAAGUUACCACUGAGGUCUUCUCUACCUGGGCAACAAUUGACUCCUAACAACCACUAUAAGCUUGGAAGAUGAUCCCUCCCCAGCUGAUCCUUCAGGUCAGAUUUUUCACAGAGCCAUAGAUAUCUUAUCAUCCUCUGUGGCUUGAAGACUAAUGGCAAUAAAACAUUUCUCAAUAAAGGAGGCUAUACCAUUGUCUGUGUGAUUUCCACUUUCCCUGUUGACACUUAUUCUGCCAGUUUUGAUGUAGGUCAUCUUGCCAGAAGAUGAAAGCAGAUUUCAGGUGAAGUUCAUACAUGUGUAGACAUUAAAAACUGUCAAGGCUACUACCAGGCUAACAGCAAUUGUAAAACUUGAAAACAAAACAUGAUUAAAAUAGGUAAAAUGCAAUAAAUAAUAAAGAUUUGAAAAUAUUUAUUCAGAGAGACAAAUUGAUAGAACUGAAACUUGGAACACAAAAAUACUUUAUUUUGUCAAAGAGGGUAAUGCUGUCUGUAGGGAUAGUACAAGUGCAGAUGUAGAAGUAGCCUGGCCCAUGAGAGGGCUAAGAGGCUGGAGAAGA